AGGACGAACGCUGGCGGCGUGCUUAACACAUGCAAGUCGAACGGAAAGGCCCUGCUUUUGUGGGGUGCUCGAGUGGCGAACGGGUGAGUAACACGUGAGUAACCUGCCCUUGACUUUGGGAUAACUUCAGGAAACUGGGGCUAAUACCGGAUAGGAGCUCCUGCUGCAUGGUGGGGUUGGAAAGUUUCGGCGGUUGGGGAUGGACUCGCGGCUUAUCAGCUUGUUGGUGGGGUAGUGGCUUACCGAA
Molecule: ribosomal RNA, 247 nt
Filed under: uncultured soil bacterium
Lineage: Bacteria
Description: partial 16S ribosomal RNA
Rfam family: Bacterial small subunit ribosomal RNA
Source: RNAcentral